RNAcentral lists this ribosomal RNA (253 nucleotides) under uncultured bacterium. Its description in RNAcentral is "partial 16S ribosomal RNA". It matches the Rfam family "Bacterial small subunit ribosomal RNA", at positions 524 to 776 of the family's 1533-position model. The record is from RNAcentral.
UACAGAGGUCUCAAGCGUUGUUCGGAUUCAUUGGGCGUAAAGGGUGCGUAGGUGGCGCGCUAAGUCAGGUGUGAAAUUUCGGAGCUUAACUCCGAAACUGCAUUUGAUACUGGCAUGCUUGAGGACUGGAGAGGAGACUGGAAUUCACGGUGUAGCAGUGAAAUGCGUAGAGAUCGUGAGGAAGACCAGUGGCGAAGGCGGGUCUCUGGACAGUUCCUGACACUGAGGCACGAAGGCCAGGGGAGCAAACGGG